UAACGCUGAGAUACGAUGUCGAGCUACUACGGUAGUGAAGUCAUUGAUGCCAUGCUUCCAGGAAAAGCCUCUAAGCUUCAGAUUGUAAGGAAUCGUACCCCAAACCGACACAGGUGGUCGGGUAGAGAAUACCAAGGCGCUUGAGAGAACUCGGGUGAAGGAACUAGGCAAAAUGGUACCGUAACUUCGGGAGAAGGUACGCUCUUAUCAGUGAAGUCCCUUGCGGAUGGAGCAGACGAGAGUCGCAGAUACCAGGUGGCUGCAACUGUUUAUUAAAAACACAGCACUGUGCAAAAUCGUAAGAUGACGUAUACGGUGUGACGCCUGCCCGGUGCCGGAAGGUUAAUUGAUGGGGUUAGACUUCGGUCGAAGCUCUUGAUCGAAGCCCCGGUAAACGGCGGCCGUAACUAUAACGGUCCUAAGGUAGCGAAAUUCCUUGUCGGGUAAGUUCCGACCUGCACGAAUGGCGUAAUGAUGGCCACGCUGUCUCCACCCGAGACUCAGUGAAAUUGAAAUCGCUGUGAAGAUGCAGUGUACCCGCGGCUAGACGGAAAGACCCCGUGAACCUUUACUACAGCUUGGCACUGAACAUUGAACCUACAUGUGUAGGAUAGGUGGGAGACUAUGAAAUUGCGUCGCUAGAUGUGAUGGAGUCGUCCUUGAAAUACCACCCUUGUAGUUUUGAUGUUCUAACGUUGGUCCCUGAAUCGGGAUUACGGACAGUGCCUGGUGGGUAGUUUGACUGGGGCGGUCUCCUCCCAAAGAGUAACGGAGGAGCACGAAGGUGGGCUAAACACGGUUGGACAUCGUGUGGUUAGUGCAAUGGCAUAAGCCCGCUUGACUGCGAGAAUGACAAUUCGAGCAGGUGCGAAAGCAGGUCAUAGUGAUCCGGUGGUUCUGAAUGGAAGGGCCAUCGCUCAACGGAUAAAAGGUACUCCGGGGAUAACAGGCUGAUACCGCCCAAGAGUUCAUAUCGACGGCGGUGUUUGGCACCUCGAUGUCGGCUCAUCACAUCCUGGGGCUGAAGUCGGUCCCAAGGGUAUGGCUGUUCGCCAUUUAAAGUGGUACGCGAGCUGGGUUUAGAACGUCGUGAGACAGUUCGGUCCCUAUCUGCCGUGGGCGUUGGAAAAUUGAAAGGGGCUGCUCCUAGUACGAGAGGACCGGAGUGGACGAACCUCUGGUGUUCGGGUUGUCAUGCCAAUGGCAUUGCCCGGUAGCUAAUUCGGAAUCGAUAACCGCUGAAAGCAUCUAAGCGGGAAGCGAGCCUUGAGAUGAGUUUUCCCUGGCACUAUAAGUGUCCUAAAGGGUUGUCGUAGACUACGACGUUGAUAGGCAGGGUGUGUAAGUGCUGCGAGGCAUUGAGCUAACCUGUACUAAUUGCCCGUGAGGCCUUAACCAUACAACACCCAAGGGGUUU
RNAcentral lists this ribosomal RNA (1417 nucleotides) under Vibrio splendidus 1S-124. RNAcentral describes it as "bacterial LSU rRNA". It matches the Rfam family "Bacterial large subunit ribosomal RNA", at positions 1551 to 2925 of the family's 2925-position model. Lineage: Bacteria; Pseudomonadati; Pseudomonadota; Gammaproteobacteria; Vibrionales; Vibrionaceae. The record is from RNAcentral.